UAAGAUGAGAAACAAGGUCUAGACUCUAGAACCUUCUCCUGACUCAGCUUCCUUCCACUGCAGGGCCAGGCUCAUGUUAUUUUUGUGGGGUUCGCAACUUCACUUAGUUUCUCUACCUUUUGGACGAAACACAUGAUUAUAUAUAUAUAUAUAUAGUUAUUAAAUUCAUUUCUUGCACCCACCAAAACCUUAACAAAAAACAACCUUCUUUUCUUUGUACGCUGAAACCAGGCAGUAGUAUAGUAUUAUAUUCACCAAAUAAAUAUCCCCCCCUUUUGUACGCUGAGAAAACGGAAGUUAUGUCUAACAACAAUGCUACUAUUCUGUUCUUGGAAUCUGUAAACAAGCCUCAGAUUCUGAUAUUCGCUGUGCUUACAGAAAGCUUGCUCUGAAAUUAAAUGGCACCCGGAUAGAUGGAUGAAGAAGGAUCCUUGCAUUAAGGGAGAAGCUAAACAUAGAUUUCAGCAAGUUCAAGAGGCUUAUUCUGUUCUGUCGGACAAGAGGAAGAGAUCACUGUAUGACACAGGGUUGCUUCACCUCAUGGGAGAUCGAUGAUAUAGAAUUCUGCGAGUUUAUGCAAGAAAUGAUAACAAUGAUGAAAGCUGAGAAAUCUAGUCUAGGGGUGCGAACACCUUCAAGAGCUGUUAUUAGACAUGCAUGACGGGUGAUAUUGAUGAAUCCCUUCAACCAAAGCGAAGACGUGUGUGUAUAUGAUCGAUUUCAGCCUCUGAAAAUGAACAACCUCUUGGUCUUGGUCGGGAGCACUUCACCCCUUUAAUUAGUGUGUCUACAUGACGCCAAUACAGAAUACUCUAACAAAAAACAUUACUCGUCCAUCUAUAUAUGAUCCUUGAUUAUGUAUAAUCUAUUUUGUUUAUUUUAUUCCAUUUUCCACUCCAUCGAUAUCUUUGUUUAGUUCUAAUAGAGAAGGUGAUCUACUCUUGCAAUUACUCGGUCAAUUUUUCCCAACCAAAUGUUGGGAUAUAUACUAUUAACCAUGGAUUUUGGUUUGGAUAUAGGAUUUAUUAUGGAAUAACUAUUAUUUAA
Molecule: long non-coding RNA, 1047 nt
Organism: Nicotiana tabacum (common tobacco)
Lineage: Eukaryota; Viridiplantae; Streptophyta; Magnoliopsida; Solanales; Solanaceae
Source: RefSeq, a predicted model, not a curated record